Molecule: long non-coding RNA, 427 nt
Filed under: Pongo abelii (Sumatran orangutan)
Lineage: Eukaryota; Metazoa; Chordata; Mammalia; Primates; Hominidae
Description: lincRNA
Source: RNAcentral
UGAAUGAGAAUGGUCUUCUUAUAUAAUGGAGGGAUGGAAGAAGAUACUUAGAAAAAUCAGGGAAGAGUGAAGAAGAUACUUCGAAAAAUCAGGGAAGAUUUUCAUCAUAAGGUCCAAGCAAAGGCAUGAGUAUAAGAUGUGUAUUCCUGAGUCUGAGUCUACUGACAAAUAUACCACAUCCCCAGAGUAACUUGGAGUCUCUUAAAAUUGUCUUGCUGGCAUCUAGCGGAGAUUGUCCCCAUAAGCAUGUUCCUUAUGAUGGAUGCCUGGGUCAGAACACAUAAUACAUUCUUUUUUAUAAGCAUGAGGAUUCUGAGAAGCACUGCCCCUCCCACGUGUCACACUCUGGGGAGAGAUGAUUGGAAUGCCUCUUGGAUCAGGUAUCUUUGGUGAUCAUUCCACCUAGUUAAGAUGAAGCUGGUGAUAC